Molecule: ribosomal RNA, 301 nt
Filed under: uncultured bacterium
Lineage: Bacteria
Description: partial 16S ribosomal RNA
Rfam family: Bacterial small subunit ribosomal RNA
Source: RNAcentral
CAGUAGCCGCGGUAAUACGAAGGUCCCGAGCGUUGUUCGGAAUCACUGGGCGUAAAGGGAGCGUAGGCGGCGUGGUAAGUCAGAUGUGAAAUCCCGGGGCUCAACCCCGGAACUGCAUCCGAUACUGCCGUGCUAGAGGAUUGGAGAGGUAGCUGGAAUUCUUGGUGUAGCAAUGAAAUGCGUGGAGAUCAAGAGGAACACUCGUGGCGAAAGCGAGCUACUGGACAAUAUCUGACGCUGAGGCUCGAAGGCCAGGGUAGCGAAAGGGAUUAGAUACCCGAGUAGUCCCUGUCUCUUAUAC